This 500-nucleotide ribosomal RNA is filed under the name uncultured bacterium. RNAcentral's name for it is "partial 16S ribosomal RNA". It matches the Rfam family "Bacterial small subunit ribosomal RNA", at positions 30 to 523 of the family's 1533-position model. The record is from RNAcentral.
AUUGAACGCUGGCGGCAUGCCUUACACAUGCAAGUCGAACGGCAGCACGGGAGCAAUCCUGGUGGCGAGUGGCGAACGGGUGAGUAAAGUAUCGGAACGUGCCCAGUCGUGGGGGAUAACGUAGCGAAAGUUACGCUAAUACCGAAUACGAUCUAUGGAUGAAAGCGGGGGAUCGCAAGACCUCGCGCGACUGGCGCGGCCGAUAUCAGAUUAGGUAGUUGGUGGGGUAAAGGCCCACCAAGCCGACGAUCUGUAGCUGGUCUGAGAGGACGACCAGCCACACUGGGACUGAGACACGGCCCAGACUCCUACGGGAGGCAGCAGUGGGGAAUUUUGGACAAUGGGCGAAAGCCUGAUCCAGCCAUGCCGCGUGCAGGAUGAAGGCCUUCGGGUUGUAAACUGCUUUUGUACGGAACGAAAAGGUUUGGCCUAAUAAGCUGAGCUCAUGACGGUACCGUAAGAAUAAGCACCGGCUAACUACGUGCCAGCCGCCGCAGUAA